GAAUCUUCAGCAGGGAAAGGAGGUGUUUCGUGGGUUUUCAUUUUUCCUGAAGAUGUUAACAGAGUAGCAUUGUUGCCCCUUAUUUUGGAAGUCAAACAUGCAAGUAUGUAUAUUUACCAAAAAAAAAAAAAAAGAGCCUAGGAUUCUUAAUUAUGCCAGAAUGGUUGAUGUAUUUUUUUUUUCUUUAACAUGACAGUUAAAGUCUGCUGCUUCUAUCCUUUCUCGUCAACAUAUGCUAAGCAAAGGAGUCCAUCUGCUGAGUUUUACGAUCCCCAGAGUGUUGCAUCCCUCAAGUACUUCAGAUUUGGCCAUUACCAACAGAGGCUGCCUUCAGCAUGAUUCCUGUCUGCGUGCAGUAUUUGAUGUCGAACUUGAAGAGCAAUUCUGCAUAUACAAUUCAAUGUUCUGUUCUGCACAUCUCGAGGUUCAUCCUCUCCUUAGAACUUUCAGCAACCUUUAUAACCAUAUACAGCACAUCCUGAUUCAAAUAUCAGGAUGGUACUGCAGAAUUACAGCAAUUCCUAACCUAUGGCUCUCAUCUGUUUUUGCAGAUUCCUGUCUGCUUGCAAUAUUCAGCAUCAAACUUCAAGAGCAUUAUUGCACAUAAAUUUA
Molecule: long non-coding RNA, 612 nt
Filed under: Gallus gallus (chicken)
Lineage: Eukaryota; Metazoa; Chordata; Aves; Galliformes; Phasianidae
Description: lncRNA (ENSGALG00010005852.1)
Source: RNAcentral